This 253-nucleotide ribosomal RNA is filed under the name uncultured bacterium. RNAcentral's name for it is "partial 16S ribosomal RNA". It matches the Rfam family "Bacterial small subunit ribosomal RNA", at positions 524 to 776 of the family's 1533-position model. The record is from RNAcentral.
UACAGAGGUGGCAAGCGUUGUUCGGAAUUACUGGGCGUAAAGCGCACGUAGGCGGACAUUUAAGUCAGGGGUGAAAUCCCGGGGCUCAACCCCGGAACUGCCUUUGAUACUGGGUGUCUCGAGUCCGGAAGAGGUGAGUGGAAUUCCGAGUGUAGAGGUGAAAUUCGUAGAUAUUCGGAGGAACACCAGUGGCGAAGGCGGCUCACUGGUCCGGUACUGACGCUGAGGUGCGAAAGCGUGGGGAGCAAACAGG